CCUACGGGGGGCAGCAGUGGGGAAUAUUGCACAAUGGGGGAAACCCUGAUGCAGCGACGCCGCGUGAGUGAAGAAGUACUUCGUUAUGUAAAGCUCUAUCAGCAGGGAAGCAAAUGACGGUACCUGAGUACGAAGCCCCGGCUAACUAAGUGCCAGCAGCCGAGGUAAUACGUCGGGGGCAAGCGUUAUCCGGAUUUACUGGGUGUAAUGGGAGAGUAGACGGCAAUGCAAGUCUGGAGUGAAAGGCGGGGGCUUAACCCCCGUAGUGCUGUGGAAAUUGGCCUGCUGGAGUGCAGGAGAGGUAAGUGGAAUGCCUAGUGACGCGGUGAAAUGCGUAGAUAUUAGGAGGAACACCAGUGGCGAAGGCGGCUUACGGGACUUUAACUGACGUUGAGGCUCGAAAGCGUGGGGAGCAAACAGGAUUAGAUACCCGUGUAGUC
Molecule: ribosomal RNA, 440 nt
Filed under: uncultured bacterium
Lineage: Bacteria
Description: partial 16S ribosomal RNA
Rfam family: Bacterial small subunit ribosomal RNA
Source: RNAcentral